This 1264-nucleotide long non-coding RNA is filed under the name Phasianus colchicus (ring-necked pheasant). Its description in RNAcentral is "lncRNA (ENSPCLG00000004803.1)". Lineage: Eukaryota; Metazoa; Chordata; Aves; Galliformes; Phasianidae. The record is from RNAcentral.
GUUUUUUUUUAAAAAAAAAUAAGCCCUUCUGAAAUUGGCUUUUUUUUCCCUUCUAGACUCUUUUAUCACUCUUGGAAAGUAGUCAUGUACUGUCUGAGAAACAUCUCUUGAUAUUAUGGCAGCGUUUUCAUGCUGCCCAUUUUUUCUCAUACCUUCUCAAAUUCUUGGUGAUGUUAAUGUAGAGCAUGGCCAAAUUAUAAAGGAAUAUCGUAUGUGCAUGAAGCAAGGAAGGAGGUUGAGCUGAAGUUACCUAGUAUUUUAUAAUGUAAUUCUUUUAUAAAUGUUUUAUUUCUUUAGAAAAGAGGUGAGAGAAUCUGUUUGUAACAUCUGAAUAGUGUUCUACUUUUAGUAUUGAAGUAUUUUUUUGCUGAGAUUAAUUAACAGAGGUGCCAUUUCAAUCCUUAUGGUUGGCAUGAGUUACUUAAGGAAGAGAUGAAGAGUGAUGUUGGAUGGAAAAAGGGUGGCAGGUGUGCAGGAUGCAGCUGUGAAGGCACCUUGGGGAAGUGGAGCUUCCUAGAGUCACGGUGGCACAGCUGGAGUCACCAGUCAUUUCCAGAUGGAGCUAAGAGGAUUGUUGUGAAUAAAUCCAGCUGGAAAAUGUCUGCAGUUGAGGAAGUGUGUGCUGAUGACUGGAAUACUGCACUGUCCCAUGAGUUUGUUCCCUUUGCUGUGUGCUCCAUCCCUUGUUAACUAGUAUGUGAGAGAUUAUGGCACCAAGCAGAAAUAAUGUGGGCCUGAGUUGAAUUAAUUCUCUUCCCUACAUUCCCUUGAACAAAUGAAGAUUUCAAAAGCAACAUGAAAGUAUAUUUUCAGAAGUCCAAAAUCCCCCAUGUUAUAGAUAGUAAAAUAAGUAGUGACGAAGAUAUAAAAGGGGAUAUGUUUCUGGGUAAAGACAAGCACAUUUAUUAAAGAGAAAGUGUUAGGGAUCUGCAGGCAGGGAAGUGCCUUGAUUUACCUUACCUACAGCAGUUACAGCUUGAUUAUUUUCCAAGGUGGUUUUGUUGUUUUGUUUGAUUUUGUUUUAAACUUAGACAUGCUGAUUGAUGAUAUCUCUGUGGCAUCUCAAUGGUGUCUGCAUAUUUAUUGUGAGCAAGGCCAAUUCAGGUUUCCCCACUCAGCUGAAACUGGAGGAUCCCUAUCCUUUGUUUAGGGAUAAGGGUUGCCUCUGUGUUAUCUUCAGGUGUGUUCCUGCCAUGAUGAAGUACUGUUUGUGGAGACUUUUAGAAGUGUUAAAUAAACUCAGAGAGAUUCCAGUUUGUCUUCA